GUAUGCCAAUUGGUAACAGUAUGUUAUACUGUUUAAACAUUGUUUGACAUUGUGGAAAUAAAGCUCGCGAGAAAUGGUGGCACUAUGGGAUCACCUCAAGUCAAAUGGUCUGUACUUACAGUAGCCGAACACACUAUCACAUAUAAAUUUCACAAUACAGUACAUAUGUUUAACAAUCUGUCGAACGGUUACACGCAUUUGUAUUUGUAAGUGAAAUAUUCUGAGAUUUGCCGAUGCGCUGUUUGUCAGUAAAUUUAAGAAAAAAAAGCAAAAAAGUGCAAAUCGAGUUUGAAAAGUUGAUUCCGCGGGUGUCCUCCACACAGAAGUAACAAAAAUAUGUUUUUCGCCGUUCGAUGCAUUCUAUUCGGCGUAUCUACAAGGUUAACAAUUGCAGUUAACAAGUGCAGUGCGGGAGAGUUGACUGGAACUUAGGUGCGUUGAAGCGGCCGGAUCGGAAUUUGGCAAUUUUAACCAAUGCAACAUAAUGAAGGGUCGAAAAAUCUUCCACAGUGAACACAUAUAGUUAUUGUUUGCAGCUGCUAGUUACGUGAGUUGAAGUGAGAAAGUUUUUGAUUGAAAAAUAUAACUCAUGAUGUGCUUCUUAAA
Molecule: long non-coding RNA, 606 nt
Organism: Aedes albopictus (Asian tiger mosquito)
Lineage: Eukaryota; Metazoa; Arthropoda; Insecta; Diptera; Culicidae
Exons: 2
Source: RefSeq, a predicted model, not a curated record